This 254-nucleotide ribosomal RNA is filed under the name uncultured bacterium. RNAcentral's name for it is "partial 16S ribosomal RNA". It matches the Rfam family "Bacterial small subunit ribosomal RNA", at positions 524 to 776 of the family's 1533-position model. The record is from RNAcentral.
UACGGGGGGGGCAAGCGUUGUUCGGAAUUCCUGGGCGUAAAGGGCUCGUAGGCGGCCAACUAAGUCAGACGUGAAAUCCCUCGGCUUAACCGGGGAACUGCGUCUGAUACUGGAUGGCUUGAGUUUGGGAGAGGGAUGCGGAAUUCCAGGUGUAGCGGUGAAAUGCGUAGAUAUCUGGAGGAACACCGGUGGCGAAGGCGGCAUCCUGGACCAACACUGACGCUGAGUGAGCGAAAGCCAGGGGAGCAAACAGG